Molecule: ribosomal RNA, 408 nt
Filed under: Triticum aestivum (bread wheat)
Lineage: Eukaryota; Viridiplantae; Streptophyta; Magnoliopsida; Poales; Poaceae
Description: partial small subunit ribosomal RNA
Source: RNAcentral
AUGCAUGAAUUUAUAUAUAAUUAUGAUUCCGGAAAUUUGAUUGAAAUAUCCCUUGAUGAACAUGAUGCUUGCUAUUCUUAUGACCAUGAUGCCAAUAUUUAUGGAGAUGAAUUUGCUAUAGUCCCUUAUGUUAAACAUGAGAUUGUUGCUAUUGCUCCCAUACUUGAUAGUUCCUUGAAUCAAAAGCAUGAUUGCAAUGAUGUUAUUAUAAAUUAUAUUAAUGUCAAUUGUGUUAAUGAUAUGCAAAACCCUAAGCUUGGGCAUGCUAGUUUCGUUAUGUCCACUAUUUAUUGCAACGACCAUGAUUGGGGUGAUUCUUCUUAUAAUCUUGAAAACUUAUUUAAUCCGCAUGAUGAAUAUGAGAUUGAUAAUAAUAUUUGCAAUACUAUUGAAAGUCGGUUUGGUUAG